Rhinopithecus bieti (black snub-nosed monkey) is the source of this 111-nucleotide unclassified non-coding RNA. It matches the Rfam family "Y RNA". Rfam says of the family: Y RNAs are components of the Ro ribonucleoprotein particle (Ro RNP), in association with Ro60 and La proteins. The record is from Ensembl. Lineage: Eukaryota; Metazoa; Chordata; Mammalia; Primates; Cercopithecidae.
GGCUGGCCUGAAGGUAGUGAUUCAUCUCAAAUGACUGUUCAGUCAGUCACAGGUUGAAAUCCUUGUUCUACUCUUUCUCCCCGUCUCACUACUGUAAUUGACUAGUCUUUU